AGCAUGUGGUUUAAUUCGAAGCAACGCGAAGAACCUUACCAGGUCUUGACAUCCCCUGACAACCCGAGAGAUCGGGCGUUCCCCUUCGGGGGACAGGGUGACAGGUGGUGCAUGGUUGUCGUCAGCUCGUGUCGUGAGAUGUUGGGUUAAGUCCCGCAACGAGCGCAACCCUCGACCUUAGUUGCCAGCAUUCAGUUGGGCACUCUAAGGUGACUGCCGGCUAAAAGUCGGAGGAAGGUGGGAUGACGUCAAAUCAUCAUGCCCCUUAUGACCUGGGCUACACACGUGCUACAAUGGUUGGUACAACGAGUUGCGAGUCGGUGACGGCGAGCUAAUCUCUUAAAGCCAAUCUCAGUUCGGAUUGUAGGCUGCAACUCGCCUACAUGAAGUCGGAAUCGCUAGUAAUCGCGGAUCAGCACGCCGCGGUGAAUACGUUCCCGGGCCUU
RNAcentral lists this ribosomal RNA (446 nucleotides) under uncultured Streptococcus sp. Its description in RNAcentral is "bacterial SSU rRNA". It matches the Rfam family "Bacterial small subunit ribosomal RNA", at positions 936 to 1382 of the family's 1533-position model. The record is from RNAcentral. Lineage: Bacteria; Bacillati; Bacillota; Bacilli; Lactobacillales; Streptococcaceae.